Non-coding RNA from Odocoileus virginianus texanus, 1003 nucleotides. The record is from RefSeq and is a predicted model, not a curated record. Lineage: Eukaryota; Metazoa; Chordata; Mammalia; Artiodactyla; Cervidae.
CAGGGCACAAGCUAGAGAAGGAGCCGGCGAGGUAAUAGCAUACAGGACCCGCUAGGGUCCCAGUCCCCGGGAGUGCCGGGCUGGGGCAGCCUGUCUCCUGGAGCCCGCCCUACGCUGACUUUUCUAGCACCUCUCACGGAGAGAAAACCCCAGAAGCGGCCCCAGAAAGAGAAGCAGCGCUGAGCACCCACGUCUGUGCUACCACCUCUGCCCACGGCAUUCCGACCGGGCUGAGGAAGUCAGCAGAAGACCAACGUGCUCACUCAUGCCUGGAGACACCUGAACCCCAGCAAAGCAGCCAGCUUAGGUCCUGGAGGUCAGACUUCCAGGAAAAGGCGCCACAGUGGGAUUAAUGCCUGAAGGAAAGAGGACCAAAAGCUGCUGUUGCUGAAGAAGAAGAUCAGAGGAGGGCAGAAUAUAACAGCAAAGAGGGCAGAGUCAAGAUGAUGGAGAGGACCGCAGAGGCAGGGCCAAGGCGAGGCCAGAGGCCAGGAACAGACUGGCGUGUGCCCAGGUUAGGACCUGCUGGUUGCCCCCACACAUCUCAGGGAGGCCCAUACCCCUGGACUCUGGACAGUCGGCUAACAUGGCUUCCUCCCCAGGAGUGGGACCCCGAAAUCACAAGGUUUAAACAAAAUCUGGAUCCUUCCUAGAACCUGUUGCUGUUCCCAGGAGUGCUUGCAGAGUUCUCCUUCCCCCCAAAGUGCCCAGAAGAACACAGGUACACCCACCUUCCGGGCAAAGCUGAGAUGGGCCCCCGUGCUACUGGGCACAGACGCUCGAAAGGACAAAGGAUUUCCAGGGCACAGAGUGGCUCAGGGAUGGGGCAGGGGCCGAGCCAGAGUCUGCCGGGGGCGCCAAAGGCAGCAGCAGAGGAGAGCCCUUCACAUCCGGGCCGGGGAGGUCUCAGAAACCAGGAAACGCCACCAGAAAAAGCUAGGUGUUGGGGGAUGAGAGAACGACUUUCCUUCAUCCUGAACUGUGCCAGUGAGGCCACCAGAGG